Molecule: ribosomal RNA, 403 nt
Filed under: uncultured bacterium
Lineage: Bacteria
Description: bacterial SSU rRNA
Rfam family: Bacterial small subunit ribosomal RNA
Source: RNAcentral
UAGGGAAUCUUGCACAAUAGACGAAAGUCUGAUGCAGCAACGCCGCGUGGAGGAAGAAUGCCUUCGGGUUGUAAACUCCUUUUCGGGGGGAUGAGGAAGGACAGUACCCCCGGAAUAAGUCUCGGCUAACUACGUGCCAGCAGCCGCGGUAAAACGUAGGAGGCAAGCGUUAUCCGGAUUUACUGGGCGUAAAGCGCGUGCAGGCGGCGUGCAAAGUCGGACGUGAAAUCUCCCGGCUCAACUGGGAGAGGCCGUUCGAAACUAGUAUGCUUGAGGGCGGUAGAGGGAAGUGGAAUUCCAGGUGUAGCGGUGAAAUGCGUAGAUAUCUGGAGGAACACCAGUGGCGAAAGCGGCUUCCUGGACCGAUCCUGACGCUAAGACGCGAAAGCUAGGGGAGCGAACG